AUUAACUUCGUUUGCCUCCUACUCGAAGUUGUCUCUCCUUAAAGAACCUGCUUCAACCUUGACCGGAACCAUUGCCUCAGGAUCUUUAGAGCAAGUGAACUACCCCCCGAGUGAUUGUCACACAUUUCUUCAUGAACUUCCAUCAUCUACCAGGAUGAUAAUGGAGCUGGGCUUCGGAAGAGUCCUUUGUUGGUUGGCUUUAAAGAUGCGUUCUAUUGACGCAACCAAAUGUGUCUAAUGAUUAGAUCUUUCAUCAUAGUCCCGAGGUGGUGUGUUGUUUCUUCUAUAGGUAAUAUUGUCUCUGCUUGGAUGUUGACGUCUGCUUCUAUGUUCCGGUCUGGAAGAUUGUUCUCGUCUCCCGAGGUUGUGUUCUUGUAGUUGACGGGCGAAGGAUCCUUGAUGACUUCGGCAAAGAGUGAUUCUUGACUGGAAGUGACGUUUUUCCUCCAUCAAAGUGGUGUCGAGAUAAUCCUGAGGGUGUUGAUGUCGAUAGCCUCGAUCCCUGGAAUGUUCUGGACAUUAGGUUGGACACGCGUCGUAGAUGGGAUUCUCCCUGUAGUUAUGAGGUCGCUUGGCGGUGGAGCAAGGAGAUUCGAUGACAUGGCAAGAUUUGAUGGAGCAAGGAGAUUUGACGACGAAGCAAGAUUUGAUGAUGAGUUGAUGGUGGAACGAGAAGAUUGCCGAUGUCUGUUGUCUAGUUAUGUGGUUGACUUGAGCAUCUAUGAGAUUGAAGUGGAGCGUGUCUGUGCCUAAGGUGUGCCAUGUUAGAAGGAGGUGCACCUUCUAACAUACUUUUUCCCUGCAAGGGAUACAACCAAUACAACAUAUCGUAUACAAGUGUUAGGAAGAGUAUUUACCUCAGGGCGCUCCCAGUCAGGGGAAGGCGCGCCUAAACUAACAUUCUUCCUCCCUGCAAAGGACCCGACUAACACAAUAUACCGUACACAAGUACAAGAAGAAUAUUUACCUUAGGCGCGCCCAGUCAGGGGGAGGCGCGCUCAUCGAUACAUUGUGCCAGCCGUGGGACUUGCUUCCUUCCGAAACCCUGAGAAAGUCUCCAGAUCCGAGAAUCACGCUUCCCUCAUGUGUUGGCUUCUGGAACCUUCACUCCGAUCUUGCCUUCAUCUUUCGCCCUCACAACCGUGCCUUGUUCAAUAUCGAUAACAAACAACAAUGCUUACCGUUGUCUUCCCCUUCUGAACAUGCUUCUCCAUCGAACCCGUCUUCUUUUCCUUCAUAACGGGCUUCUCUUUCGAUCUCGUCUUCUUCUCCUUCAAGACGGACUUCUCCUUCGAUCCCGUCUUCUUCUCCUUCAUAACGGAAUUCUCCUUCGAUCUUGUCUUCUUCUCCUUCAUAACGUACUUCUCCUUCGAUCCCAUUAUCUAUCCCUUCCGAACAGACUUCUUAGAUAAUUCAUCGGUACUCACCAUGAUUGGCGGCGACCAGGCGAUCGGCGGUCGUAGACUGACGUUGUCUCCAUCUGUUAUCACAAUUGCCUGUUCCUGGGGGGUGUCCCCGACCGUGAUGUCGUCCGUCCAUCGGUGUUGCUUGUCUUUCCAAUGUUGUCUCCACUGGAUCUAGGAUCGGGGUGCUGGUUCCCGUCGGGCGUUCUCUCGCCGUGGUUCGACAUCUUUCUCCUUGAUGGAAAAUCUUGAACUACCCCUCCUUCUAGCGCCAAUUUGUUAACGGAGAAAACUGGUAGGUUAACAAAGAUGAGGUUCGCGGCGUGGAUCAAGAUUCUUGUUGGCGAGAAUGUAGGAAGUGGUUGGUUGUUUGUUAUGGAGGCGGCUGCAAUUGUAAGCAAAGGGUUCGAGAUUGCUAACUGGAAUAGCUCUCAAGAAUGAUCGAUGCCUACAAUCUGCCUACGUACCCCUAUUUAUAGAGGAUCAAGCCGGCACGUAGUUCUUUCUCCUAAGAGACCCAUGUGGACUGGGCCUCCCCUUCUAGAAUCUUCCUCCCGAAAGGGGCCCAAUACGAUGAGGCCUAGCCUUGGGCCUUGCAGACUCUCGAGCACCCAAGGCUUACCCCAAAUGCAUGGACACUACUCCACUCCCCGACAGGGACAACCCGCCAGACUACAGAGGUAGAGCCUUUCAGGGCGCGUCUUCUAUUCUACCUCCACCUCCCAAGGAGGACAACUCCUCAGACUACAAGGUAGGGCCUUCUACAAUUCAACAGUUGGAUUUACUUAUGUUUAAGGGCGUCCCCCUAAACAAAAGCAUCUCCUUCUGUCCUUCUGAACCAUUGCUAACUGAACUGUCUUCGGCAAGAUGGCGCGCCCAAAGAUAGGGCGCGCCCUAUCUUUCUACAGGGUCACUUCUAAAUCGGGUUGAUCUUGAUUCUUCUGGCCCAACCAAGUCUUCUUUUGUGGGCCUGGCCCAUGAAGUCGGUCUUCAUAUAAAUCAUUUUCUUAUAAAGCUGAGAUGUGUCUUCUCCCUCCAAUCAGGGCGCGCCCUCAUGGAGGUCCUUCUGGGUACGGUCAGAUAUGUAGUUGCUGUCAGAUAUGUGGACACGGCCUGAUAUGUGGACGCGGCCUGGCAUGUGGACGCGGCCUGACAUCAUGUGGACGCGGCCUGGCAUGUGGCCACGGCCUGACAUGUGGGCGCGGCCUGACAUCAUGUGGACGCGGCCUGGGAUGUGGGCGCAGCCAGACAUGUGGGAGCGGCCAGACAUGUGGUCGCGGCCUGGCAAGUGGGCGCGGCCUGGCAUGUGGACGCGUCCUGGCAAGUGGGCGCGACCUGGCAUGUGGACGCGCCCUGGCAUUAAAGCGGCCUAGCAUGUGGACGCGCCCUGGCAAGUGGGCGCGGCCUAGCAUGUGAUCCAGCCCAAUCUUGAAUAUGUCAGCCCAAAAUAGUUUUCCACCUAAAGCGCGCCCUUACUAGAGGUUCUUCUGGACGUGGCCAGAUAUGUGGGCGCGCCUACAUAUGAUUGGAGGCCUAACAACCGAGUGAUUGGAGGUCUUUCAUGGAGGCGCCUGUUAAGUUGGCGGCGCCAGUUAAGUGGGCGCGCCCACUUACUGAGCAGCCUAAUUCUGACCAUGUCCGGGCCCAAACAACAUAUCUCCGGUUUUCUAGUGGAUUUGUCUCAUUAGGCAAUCUCAUGUCUUCCUUCCAUCAAGGCGCUCCCAGAUUUUGGGUCUUCUUGGAGGAGCCAAAUAAGUGGGCGCGACCACAUUCUAAGCGGCCUCCAUCAAGUGCUUGUUGAUUUUUUGGUAACUUUCUCUCCCGGCUAGUUGAAUGCCUUGUAAUGGUAUUUUGAAGUUUUGAUCAUUUCUGAAGGCGCGCCUAGAACAAAUGUCGUCUCCAAGAUAUUAAGCUCAAAUUAUACCUCUGGCCUCCAAUAUUUUACUCAUAGCUCGUCUCAGGUUUCAUAGUUUUGUCCAGGUCAACAACUUAUAUGUUGGUAUUUGUCCUCGGUCUUCAGCUUACAUCCUGCGUCUUGUUCUAGGUCUUUGGGCUUCGACUUGCAUUCUCGGUCUUGUUCUGGAUCUUCGGUCUUCGACCUGUAUCCUUGGGCUUGUCUUGCGCCUUCAACCUGUAUCUAAGAGCAUGUCCAGGGUUUCCGACCCGAACUCGGAACUUAUCUUGUGUCUCCGACCUGCACUCGGAGCCUUUCCUGGAUCUCUUGCCUAUACUCGGAGCUUGUCCUGAGUCUCCGACCUAUACCCCGGAAUGUGUUCGGGGACUUCAGCCUUCAACCUGUAACAUGGAGCUUGCCCUAAGUCUUCUCUCACAAUCCUCCACAAUAUAUACCUCCGAGACGAGCUUUCCCUGUAAGUGCUCCAAGCAAUGUGUCUCUACAAAGAGUCCACAUCUGAUUCGAUAGGGUCCUUCCUAGUUAGCAUCGAACACUCCAUGAUUUUGGCACUUUCAUCCCUGACAUCAUCCUGCACUAGGUCUCCCCUAUUCAAAGGAUUGGCCUUGACCUUGCUAUUGUAGAAUCGAGUUGUUCUCUGUUAAUAUGCUGCUUCCUGAGCUGUGACUCGCUUCUGACUUCUUCCAUCAUAUUGGGGGUGAAGCCUCUGAUUAACUUCGUUUGCCUCCUACUCGAAGUUGUCUCUCCUUAAAGAACCUGCUUCAACCUUGACUGGAACCAUUGCCUCAGGAUCUUUAGAGCAAGUGAACUACCCCCCGAGUGAUUGUCACACAUUUCUUCAUGAACUUCCAUCAUCUACCAGGAUGAUAAUGGAGCUGGGCUUCGGAAGAGUCCUUUGUUGGUUGGCUUUAAAGAUGCGUUCUAUUGACGCAACCAAAUGUGUCUAAUGAUUAGAUCUUUCAUCAUAGUCCCGAGGUGGUGUGUAGUUUCUUCUAUAGGUAAUAUUGUCUCUGCUUGGAUGUUGACGUCUGCUUCUAUGUUCCGGGCUGGAAGAUUGUUCUCGUCUCCCGAGGUUGUGUUCUUGUAGUUGACGGGCGAAGGAUCCUUGAUGACUUCGGCAAAGAGUGAUUCUUGACUGGAAGUGACGUUUUUCCUCCAUCAAAGUGGUGUCGAGAUAAUCCUGAGGGUGUUGAUGUCGAUAGCCUCGAUCCCUGGAAUGUUCUGGACAUUAGGUUGGACACGCGUCGUAGAUGGGAUUCUCCCUGUAGUUAUGAGGUCGCUUGGCGGUGGAGCAAGGAGAUUCGAUGACAUGGCAAGAUUUGAUGGAGCAAGGAGAUUUGACGACGAAGCAAGAUUUGAUGAUGAGUUGAUGGUGGAACGAGAAGAUUGCCGAUGUCUGUUGUCGAGUUAUGUGGUUGACUUGAGCAUCUAUGAGAUUGAAGUGGAGCGUGUCUGUGCCUAAGGUGUGCCAUGUUAGAAGGAGGUGCACCUUCUAACAUACUUUUUCCCUGCAAGGGAUACAACCAAUACAACAUAUCGUAUACAAGUG
RNAcentral lists this long non-coding RNA (4864 nucleotides) under Daucus carota (carrot). RNAcentral describes it as "long non-coding RNA (DCAR_LNC003292)". The record is from RNAcentral. Lineage: Eukaryota; Viridiplantae; Streptophyta; Magnoliopsida; Apiales; Apiaceae.